Molecule: unclassified non-coding RNA, 372 nt
Filed under: Hevea brasiliensis (rubber tree)
Lineage: Eukaryota; Viridiplantae; Streptophyta; Magnoliopsida; Malpighiales; Euphorbiaceae
Source: RNAcentral
CAUCAAUCAAAGAAAAGGGCUAAGCAAAAACUGUUUUCAUCACUUUGAUUUCUUUGCUUCAUUUUGAAGGUACCAUUUUCUUCUUGUUCAUUAAUUCUUGAAAUUUAGUUAUUUUAGAAUCCAUGAAGAUUUCAUUUUUUGAGUAAGUAAGACAAAGGGGUUUUAAGGUUUUGAUUGUUAAUUGCCAUAUAUAGACUUGUGAGCUCUUUAGAUUUUUUUCAUUAAUGUAGUUGAUGUCACUAGAUUCUUUGAAGUUAGAAGCAAUAGAAAAACUUUUUUUUUGGUUUUGGUUUUUUCAGAUUAUCCUUGAGCUAGAUAGGGUUCUGUGCAACUUGUUUAACAAUGUUGUUGGUGAUUUGAAAUUCAAAAGCA